This 472-nucleotide ribosomal RNA is filed under the name uncultured bacterium. RNAcentral describes it as "partial 16S ribosomal RNA". It matches the Rfam family "Bacterial small subunit ribosomal RNA", at positions 28 to 507 of the family's 1533-position model. The record is from RNAcentral.
GACGAACGCUGGCGGCGUGCUUAACACAUGCAAGUCGAACGCUGAAGCUUGGUGCUUGCACUGGGUGGAUGAGUGGCGAACGGGUGAGUAAUACGUGAGUAACCUGCCCUUGACUCUGGGAUAAGCCUGGGAAACUGGGUCUAAUACUGGAUACGACAUGCCACUGCAUGGUGGUGUGUGGAAAGGGUUUUACUGGUUUUGGAUGGGCUCACGGCCUAUCAGCUUGUUGGUGGGGUAAUGGCCUACCAAGGCGACGACGGGUAGCCGGCCUGAGAGGGUGACCGGCCACACUGGGACUGAGACACGGCCCAGACUCCUACGGGAGGCAGCAGUGGGGAAUAUUGCACAAUGGGCGGAAGCCUGACGCAGCGACGCCGCGUGAGGGAUGACGGCCUUCGGGUUGUAAACCUCUUUCAGCACGGAAGAAGCGAGAGUGACGGUACGUGCAGAAGAAGCGCCGGCUAACUACGUG